CACACACACAGUGGCUAACCAACCCGCUCUGCCGCCGACUCGCCACCUGGACGAACUGAGAACUGGACUCCCCAGGCACAGCUGGGAUGGAGCCUGGACUCGGCACUGACGUGCCCCUGCAGAAGCAACGCGGAGCCAUACUAGUUGCCGUUGGCAACACAGCUGGGCUAAACGCCUUCACGCAGAGCUGGAAAGGCCUUCGCUCCUCACUGGUAGCCGGCCCCCACGCACCCGCAACCGUCGCUGACACCCACCUCGGGUCCGGCACGUUAAACACGUCGUGUCCCCACAUCCCACGUCACACCUCCAAACAUGCCAAGUACCUCGCAACUCACCUGAACAUUGCCACUAUGGUCACGCCUGACGAAGCUCCAGCGACACCGAGGUUGAAUCGGACACAAUUCCAACGUACACUGCCGCUGGCCCACAACCCCGAGGAAAUUGUAUGGACCGAUGGCUCGGUAUCCAAGACAACGACUGAAAACGGUAGAGAACUACAAGUGGCUGGGGCUUGUGCUUGGCAUAAAGACCGUGUUGUCUACGUAAACCCAAAUGAAUUUGGCUGCACUAACACUAUUACACGCGCCGAGCUCGCUGCAAUUCGUGCAGCCCUGGAAGAAUUCGGAGGUGAAACUAGUAUGUUCGCGAAGAAAACGCUAACCAUUGCCAGUGACUCAGCUGCAAGCUUGUAUCUAAUUAAACGGGCUAUUGACGAAC
RNAcentral lists this long non-coding RNA (717 nucleotides) under Chlamydomonas reinhardtii. RNAcentral's name for it is "long non-coding RNA (CREI_LNC001468)". Lineage: Eukaryota; Viridiplantae; Chlorophyta; Chlorophyceae; Chlamydomonadales; Chlamydomonadaceae. The record is from RNAcentral.